UACGUAGGGCGCAAGCGUUAUCCGGAAUUAUUGGGCGUAAAGAGCUCGUAGGCGGUUUGUCGCGUCGAAUGUGAAAACCCGGGGCUCAACUCCGGGCCUGCAUUCGAUACGGGCAGACUAGAGUUCGGUAGGGGAGUCUGGAAUUCCUGGUGUAGCGGUGAAAUGCGCAGAUAUCAGGAGGAACACCGGUGGCGAAGGCGGGACUCUGGGCCGAUACUGACGCUGAGGAGCGAAAGCGUGGGGAGCAAACAGG
RNAcentral lists this ribosomal RNA (253 nucleotides) under uncultured bacterium. Its description in RNAcentral is "partial 16S ribosomal RNA". It matches the Rfam family "Bacterial small subunit ribosomal RNA", at positions 524 to 776 of the family's 1533-position model. The record is from RNAcentral.